AUGGCACCCGAGCACCAGCAGUUUCAUUGUAGCACACUUACAGAUCAAGCAACAAUAAGUGCAUCCACUCGAGCUCUGGGAAGGCAUGGCGCUGGUGCUGGCUCCGGCUCCAGGCGACCUCCGCACCACCGGCCGCCGUCCGGGCAGGGCACUCCUGAUCAAAUCGAGGGAACGACCAUGGAAGCAUCAAAUUCUACGCGGCGGCAGCGGCCAAGAGAGAGAAAAAAAGCAGUGGGAACAGAGCGUGGACCUGGGCACGGUGACCGUGCAGCCGUCGUUGGGCGUGUGGAAACUGCAGGCGGUCGUGAUGGAUCGCGUCGGCGUCGCGCCGCAGCAGAACUCGACGAGGGCGCCGACCUCGCCGCCGCCGUCCUUGUCGGGAUCGACUGCUAUGUCCUCACUGGGAUCGAGCGUGGGAGGGAGCGACAGCAAGUGAGUCGAGCGGGAGAGAGAGGAGGGGAUGAGGGGCCGCAAACGGCGGCUACGCGGAGGACGAGGAGGGGCCGCAGACGGCGGCCGCGGCGCAACUGGGUGGCGGAGACGAGGGGGGAUGGAUCGUAG
RNAcentral lists this ribosomal RNA (561 nucleotides) under Triticum aestivum (bread wheat). RNAcentral describes it as "partial small subunit ribosomal RNA". The record is from RNAcentral. Lineage: Eukaryota; Viridiplantae; Streptophyta; Magnoliopsida; Poales; Poaceae.